UGCAUAUUCUUAGUCUUUUGUGCCUUUAAGCUGCGGACUCUGUCUGGUCGGAACCCUAACAAAACUCUCAUUUGUCUCACGAAGAUCUGGGUUUCCAAAGAUCUCUUUGACGCAGAUGUUGCUUUGUUCAUGUGGGUGAUCUUUUAUUUAGCUAAAGACAAUGCCUUGGGUGAAAUUUAAAUAGAGAUUGUAGUUUGAUUUUGCCGUUUUCGCCUUUGAAUAUUAUUGGUUGCAAUGGAUGGAGAUAAUAAUUUGAAUAUGCGUAACUGGGGUUACUAUGAACCUGCACCAUCCCUUAAAGGCCAUCUGGGGCUUCAGCUUAUGUCGUCCAUGCCUGAAAAACCGCUUAUUGGGGGCCGCAAUGCUGCGGUUUUGGCUGGUGGGAAUGGGGCUUUUCACCAUAGGGAUAUGGGGGUUUCCCAUUCAGCAUUCCCCAUGGAGUACAUGAGGGAUGCUUGGUUUAAUCAGAGGGAGAAAUAUAUUAAUGUA
This is a non-coding RNA of Corylus avellana, 489 nucleotides long. NCBI's taxonomy places the organism in Eukaryota, Viridiplantae, Streptophyta, Magnoliopsida, Fagales, Betulaceae. The record is from RefSeq and is a predicted model, not a curated record.